UGAACGCUAGCGGGAUUCUUUACACAUGCAAGUCGAACGGCAGCACGAGAUAAGCUUGCUUAUCUUGGUGGCGAGUGGCGAACGGGUGAGUAAUGUAUCGGAACGUGCCCAGUAGCGGGGGAUAACUACGCGAAAGCGUGGCUAAUACCGCAUACGCCCUACAGGGGAAAGGGGGGGAUCCUUCGGGACCUCUCACUAUUGGAGCGGCCGAUAUCAGAUUAGCUAGUUGGUGGGGUAAUGGCCUACCAAGGCCGCGAUCUGUAGCUGGUUUGAGAGGACGACCAGCCACACUGGGACUGAGACACGGCCCAGACUCCUACGGGAGGCAGCAGUGGGGAAUUUUGGACAAUGGGGGCAACCCUGAUCCAGCCAUCCCGCGUGUGCGAUGAAGGCCUUCGGGUUGUAAAGCACUUUUGGCAGGGAAGAAAAGGCACGGGCUAAUAUCCUGUGUCGCUGACGGUACCUGCAGAAUAAGCACCGGCUAACUACGUGCCAGCAGCCGCGGUAAUACGUAGGGUGCAAGCGUUAAUCGGAAUUACUGGGCGUAAAGCGUGCGUCGCGGUUUGGCAAGAAAGGUGUGAAAUCCCAAAGCUUAAACUUUGGAACUGCACUUUUUACCUGCCAGGCUAGAGUAUGUCAAAGGGGGGUA
This 649-nucleotide ribosomal RNA is filed under the name uncultured bacterium. Its description in RNAcentral is "bacterial SSU rRNA". It matches the Rfam family "Bacterial small subunit ribosomal RNA", at positions 30 to 663 of the family's 1533-position model. The record is from RNAcentral.